UGUGGCCCUGACCGAAGCUGCAGCCAUUUCCACGCUGCUGCCGUGAUCCGAAAGGAGCCGGCGUGACUUUUCCUUGACGGUCCCUGUUCUGUUUGCUGUAACCGAUCUGUAGCAUCUUGGGAAAAGACAGUC
This is a small nucleolar RNA of Hyaena hyaena (striped hyena), 132 nucleotides long. Lineage: Eukaryota; Metazoa; Chordata; Mammalia; Carnivora; Hyaenidae. The record is from RefSeq and is a predicted model, not a curated record.